UUCACUGGGUACUUGGUGCCCUCACUGGUC
Molecule: non-coding RNA, 30 nt
Filed under: Rattus norvegicus (Norway rat)
Lineage: Eukaryota; Metazoa; Chordata; Mammalia; Rodentia; Muridae
Source: RNAcentral